CGUGGGAACGUGCCCUUUGGUUCGGAACAACUCAGGGAAACUUGAGCUAAUACCGGAUGUGCCCUUCGGGGGAAAGAUUUAUCGCCAUUGGAGCGGCCCGCGUCUGAUUAGCUAGUUGGUGGGGUAAAGGCCCACCAAGGCGACGAUCAGUAGCUGGUCUGAGAGGAUGAUCAGCCACAUUGGGACUGAGACACGGCCCAAACUCCUACGGGAGGCAGCAGUGGGGAAUCUUGCGCAAUGGGCGAAAGCCUGACGCAGCCAUGCCGCGUGAAUGAUGAAGGUCUUAGGAUUGUAAAAUUCUUUCACCGGGGACGAUAAUGACGGUACCCGGAGAAGAAGCCCCGGCUAACUUCGUGCCAGCAGCCGCGGUAAUACGAAGGGGGCUAGCGUUGCUCGGAAUUACUGGGCGUAAAGGGAGCGUAGGCGGACUGUUAAGUUAGAGGUGAAAGCCCAGGGCUCAACCUUGGAAUUGCCUUUGAUACUGGCAGUCUUGAGUACGGAAGAGGUAUGUGGAACUCCGAGUGUAGAGGUGAAAUUCGUAGAUAUUCGGAAGAACACCAGUGGCGAAGGCGACAUACUGGUCCGUUACUGACGCUGAGGCUCGAAAGCGUGGGGAGCAAACAGGAUUAGAUACCCUGGUAGUCCACGCCGUANACGAUGAGUGCUAGUUGUCGGCNNNCAUGCAUGUCGGUGACGCAGCUAACGCAUUAAGCACUCCGCCUGGGGAGUACGGUCGCAAGAUUAAAACU
RNAcentral lists this ribosomal RNA (749 nucleotides) under uncultured bacterium. Its description in RNAcentral is "bacterial SSU rRNA". It matches the Rfam family "Bacterial small subunit ribosomal RNA", at positions 116 to 901 of the family's 1533-position model. The record is from RNAcentral.